This 491-nucleotide ribosomal RNA is filed under the name Orgilinae sp. EGC-2017. Its description in RNAcentral is "eukaryotic LSU rRNA". It matches the Rfam family "Eukaryotic large subunit ribosomal RNA", at positions 386 to 736 of the family's 3401-position model. Lineage: Eukaryota; Metazoa; Arthropoda; Insecta; Hymenoptera; Braconidae. The record is from RNAcentral.
CCUGAGAAACCUAAAAGAUCGAAUGAGGAGAUUCAUCGUCAGCGCUUUUAGUAUAUAUGCAAGUUCUUGAUAUUGAUACUGGCUUGUAUAUUUAUUGCUAAUUGUUGUCGGCGUGCACUUCUCCUCUAGUAGAACGUCGCGACCCGUUAAGUGUCGAUCUACGACCCAGACUUUGAUUUGUUGAAGACCACUGGUGUUGAAGACCACUGGUGUUUUCCGAUCGGCUGCUUGACGGGGUAUUAAGUCGCAUAAUAUAUAUUUGCGUUAUUGCGUUAGACCGACCACAAGCGUAAUUAGUCUGGCAGUGCGGACCUAGUGCCGUCGCUGGAGUUGUGUUCUCUAACAGACUUGAAAAAUAUAAAAUACCUGUCAGCGAUGCUACUGCUUUGGGUACUUUCAGGACCCGUCUUGAAACACGGACCAAGGAGUCUAACAUGUGCGCAAGUCAUUGGGAUUUAAAACCUAAAGGCGUAAUGAAAAUAAAGAUUGAC